This 1871-nucleotide long non-coding RNA is filed under the name Mytilus galloprovincialis (Mediterranean mussel). The record is from RNAcentral. Lineage: Eukaryota; Metazoa; Mollusca; Bivalvia; Mytilida; Mytilidae.
UCAAAUUUACAUUAUUAAAAUUACUACAAUGAUGAGAAUUUGGAAAUUAUUUUUAAUAUCAAAAUUUAAAAAAAAAAUAAUAAUGAUAACAAAUUGACAAAAUGCCUCCUGUUAUGAGAACUUUGGAAGUUAAUUUCUAAUAUCAGAUUUCAAAAAAAAAUAAUAAUAAUGAUUAAGAUUUGAUAAAUGCCAUCUGUUAUGAGAUUCUUAAACAUGAAAAUGCAAGGAAUAAAUUUAAUAAAUCUAUUUGUACCAAAAGCUGAUCAAAAGGAAAAAUAAUCACUAUUUUUUCCUAGUAAAAUCUAGCUCUCUGAUAUUCUCUGACGACACAAAUUCUACCUGUGUUUCAAAAUCGUCAAUUACUAUUUAAAAAAAUUUCAAAUUCUACUGCCAAAAUGUUGAAAUUAAUAAACGGCUUCAUUUUUUAAAGCAAUAGAUGUAGCAAAGAUCAUACUUUAAAGUAAGAACUGUCGAUCUUACAAUAACAAUGAAAUGAUUGACAAUACGUCUAUACAAAACCUAGCUGUCUUCAAGUUGAAUAAAUAUUGCAAUAAUGAAAUGAAAAUGAUUAAUAAUUUUAGAGUUGACAACUAAUAAAUGGAAUGGAAAUUUAAAUAAAACUGAAAUAUAGAUACACCUUGGUCAAUGAUACAAAAAAAAUGUGUAAGAUUGUGCUGUGAUUUUUUACAUGGUCUUAUAUGAAACUGUGUUGUACUCAAUAUGCACUUUUGUACUGAACAUUCAAUUUUAAAAAUGGACACAGCAUUAUCAACUAAUUACAGCAUUAAUAUUUUUUAUUUCAAUUGAAUGAAAAAGCUGUUAAAACUAUGCAUCAUAAAUUCCAGAUCAUUAAAUAAAAUUAGUCGUGAAUAUCAAAUUUGGAUCUGUCCAUUUACAAAACAAAUAUUUUUAAAAAUCUAAUGCAUUCUGGGUAAUAUUUUCCAAAACACAACCAAAACAUUCUGAUUGGCUAAAGACAUCCAAAACAGUAAGAGGUUUGACCAUCAGAACUAGCUGUAGACAUUAAGAUUCUGAAACAGAAAAUUGUUCAGGUACUCAAUACAAAUGCCACAAGUUAAGUGUCAGGAAAAAAAGAAAAACCUAUUGAACAAUAUAUAGGGCAGAAUGAUUAUUAAGUAUCGAACAUCGUCAUAAUCCUUUUUUACAACAUGAGCAAUGUUUUAUGAUAUGAAUAUGCUACAAUAUCAUAAAUAAUAUGAGUUGCGACUAUCCAGGAUACUGGUAAUAUAAACAUAACUUCAAAAGAUUUACAGUGUACAUGUAUAUUACUAUAUGCUAUACAAAGAGAUAUUGACAGAAAAUUUACUAUAAAUUACAUAUCUACAAUAAGCGAUGAUUCAAUUUUCUAAACAGUUGGAAUGAAAGAUAAAAUCUAUUGAACAGAUUUUGGAAGAACUUAUCAUUUUGUUUUUUUCUCUGCUAACUAAUAAAUAAAAUUAAUUCAAGCAUAAUAUAAUGUAAUACAAAUCAUAAGCAUAUCACUAAAAGAGUUUCUGUAUCCUUAAAACAUUCUGAAAUUGACCUUAUUCACAUGAUUUUUUUUUUAUCAUAGGUAACCGUUUUCAAAUCUCCAAACUUGAAGAUCUUCCUACCGAAGAUUAAUGUUUGAAUAUAUUUUGGGUAUGACCUACAUCUUCAAACUUUCAAAAUAACCCAAAAAUUAAAAGAAGCUAAAAGCUCCACAAUUUUCCUUAUUAAUUCUGUCCAUCUCUUAAGGUGGUACCCAACACUUUAACUAAAAUCAAUUUGGCUCGUUUAAUUUUCUUAAAAUUUUGACAAAGUAUUUACUUUGACCCUUUUACAAAAAUAUAAAAAUUUCAAAAAAUUUGAACCAACAGUUUUAUCAGAAA